Delphinapterus leucas (beluga whale) is the source of this 309-nucleotide non-coding RNA. The record is from RefSeq and is a predicted model, not a curated record. Lineage: Eukaryota; Metazoa; Chordata; Mammalia; Artiodactyla; Monodontidae.
UAGAUUGUAAGCUACUGGAUAUCAAGAGAAGAUUAAAGAAGCCCAGGAACCCUACGUGACUACAGUGAAGAGGGGGACACUACCAACUGGGAUGAUGGAGCCAGAAAGCGAUGCUGAUGCUGCCUAAAGGAGACAUGCCUACUUCACUAAAUGGCCUUGGACAACCCUCCCCACCUCACAAAACAUCAGGCAACUAAAACUGAGAGAUUUCACUGCCGGCAGACUUACAGAAGAGAAAUGCUAAAGGGAUUACUUCAAAGGAAGAGGAAAUGGCACCAGAUGGAAAAUCAAAUCAACAGGAAAGAAUGA